RNAcentral lists this ribosomal RNA (460 nucleotides) under uncultured bacterium. RNAcentral's name for it is "partial 16S ribosomal RNA". It matches the Rfam family "Bacterial small subunit ribosomal RNA", at positions 338 to 795 of the family's 1533-position model. The record is from RNAcentral.
CCUACGGGUGGCAGCAGUGAGGAAUAUUGGUCAAUGGGCGGAAGCCUGAACCAGCCAAGUAGCGUGCAGGAUGACGGCCCUACGGGUUGUAAACUGCUUUUAUACGGGAAUAACGCGCCUUACGUGUAGGUCUUUGCAUGUACCGUAUGAAUAAGGACCGGCUAAUUCCGUGCCAGCAGCCGCGGUAAUACGGAGGGUCCGUGCGUUAUCCGGAUUUAUUGGGUUUAAAGGGAGCGUAGGCGGCAUGUCAAGCGUGCUGUGAAAGGUCCGGGCUCAACCCUGGCAUUGCAGGGGGAACUGGCGGGCUUGAGUGCGCGGGAGGCAGGCGGAAUUCGUAGUGUAGCGGUGAAAUGCUUAGAUAUGACGAAGAACCCCGAUUGCGAAGGCAGCUUACUGGAGCGGAACUGACGCUGAUGCUCGAAAGCGCGGGUAUCGAACAGGAUUAGAUACCCCAGUAGUC